RNAcentral lists this ribosomal RNA (449 nucleotides) under uncultured bacterium. RNAcentral describes it as "bacterial SSU rRNA". It matches the Rfam family "Bacterial small subunit ribosomal RNA", at positions 355 to 796 of the family's 1533-position model. The record is from RNAcentral.
UGGGGAAUAUUGCGCAAUGGGCGAAAGCCUGACGCAGCGACACCGCGUGGAGGAUGAAGGUCUUCGGAUUGUAAACUUCUGUUAAGUGGGAAGAAAGCCUCAGUUCUAAUAAAACUGAGUGAUGACGGUACCAUUAGAGAAAGCACCGGCUAAACUCGUGCCAGCAGCCGCGGUAAUACGAGUGGUGCAAACGUUAUUCGGAAUAAUUGGGCGUAAAGGGUGUGUAGACGGCGUAUUAAGUCAACUGUUAAAUUCUCCGGCCUAACCGGAGGCAAGCGGUAGAAACUGAUAUGCUAGAGGGUGGAAGAGAGAAGUGGAAUUCUCGGAGUAGCGGUAAAAUGCGUAGAUCUCGAGAGGAACACCGAUGGCGAAGGCAGCUUCUUAGUCCAUUCCUGACGUUGAAACACGAAAGCGUGGGGAGCAAACAGGAUUAGAUACCCGUGUAGUCC